RNAcentral lists this ribosomal RNA (99 nucleotides) under Microtus ochrogaster (prairie vole). Lineage: Eukaryota; Metazoa; Chordata; Mammalia; Rodentia; Cricetidae. The record is from RNAcentral.
GUCUAUGGCCAUACCACCCUGAAUGCACCUGAUCUCUUCUGAUCUCUGCAGCUAAGCAGGGUCAGGCUGGUUAGCACUUGGACAGAGUGAUCAUAUUCA